GGUAGAGCAUGGUGUUUGCAACGCCAGGGUUGUGGGUUUGAUUCCCACGGGGGACCAGUAUGGAAAGAAAUGUAUGAAAUGUAUGCAUUCACUUCUCUAAGUCGCUCUGGAUAAGAGCGUCUGCUAAAAGACUAAAAUGUAAAAAUGUACAGUAUGUCCCAUGUCUUGUACAGUGUGUCCCAGGUCUUGUACAGUGUGUCCCAGGUCUUGUACUGUGUGUCCCAGGUCUUGUACAGUGUGUCCCAUGUCUUGUACUGCGUGUCCCAUGUCUUGUACUGUGUGUCCCAGGUCUUGUACUGCGUGUCCCAUGUCUUGUACAGUGUGUCCCCGGUCUUGUACAGUGUGUCCCAUGUCUUGUACUGUGUGUCCCAUGUCUUCUACUGUGUGUCCCCGGUCUUGUACAGUGUGUCCCCGGUCUUGUACAGUGUGUCCCAGGUAUUGCACAGUGUGUCCCCGGUCUUGUACAGUGUGUCCCAUGUCUUGUACAGCGUGUCCCAUGUCUUGUACAGCGUGUCCCAUGUCUUGUACUGCGUGUCCCAUGUCUUGUUCUGUGUGUCCCAUGUCUUGUACAGUGUGUCCCAUGUCUUGUACUGCGUGUCCCAUGUCUUGUUCUGUGUGUCCCAUGUCUUGUACUGUGUGUCCCAUGUCUUGUUCUGUGUGUCCCAGGUCUUGUACUGUGUGUCCCAGGUCUUGUACUGCGUGUCCCAGG
Molecule: long non-coding RNA, 709 nt
Filed under: Salmo salar (Atlantic salmon)
Lineage: Eukaryota; Metazoa; Chordata; Actinopteri; Salmoniformes; Salmonidae
Description: lncRNA (ENSSSAG00000090595.1, ENSSSAG00000118952.1)
Rfam family: UnaL2 LINE 3' element (bases 84-137)
Source: RNAcentral